RNAcentral lists this ribosomal RNA (497 nucleotides) under uncultured bacterium. RNAcentral's name for it is "partial 16S ribosomal RNA". It matches the Rfam family "Bacterial small subunit ribosomal RNA", at positions 28 to 507 of the family's 1533-position model. The record is from RNAcentral.
GAUGAACGCUGGCGGCGUGCCUAAUACAUGCAAGUCGAGCGAACAGACGAGGAGCUUGCUCCUCUGACGUUAGCGGCGGACGGGUGAGUAACACGUGGAUAACCUACCUAUAAGACUGGGAUAACUUCGGGAAACCGGAGCUAAUACCGGAUAAUAUAUUGAACCGCAUGGUUCAAUAGUGAAAGUCGGUUUUGCUGUCACUUAUAGAUGGAUCCGCGCCGCAUUAGCUAGUUGGUAAGGUAACGGCUUACCAAGGCAACGAUGCGUAGCCGACCUGAGAGAGUGAUCGGCCACACUGGAACUGAGACACGGUCCAGACUCCUACGGGAGGCAGCAGUAGGGAAUCUUCCGCAAUGGGCGAAAGCCUGACGGAGCAACGCCGCGUGAGUGAUGAAGGUCUUCGGAUCGUAAAACUCUGUUAUUAGGGAAGAACAAAUGUGUAAGUAACUAUGCACGUCUUGACGGUACCUAAUCAGAAAGCCACGGCUAACUACGUG